This 159-nucleotide ribosomal RNA is filed under the name Microcyclospora malicola. Its description in RNAcentral is "5.8S ribosomal RNA". It matches the Rfam family "5.8S ribosomal RNA". From Rfam's summary of the family: 5.8S ribosomal RNA (5.8S rRNA) is a component of the large subunit of the eukaryotic ribosome. RNAcentral also lists the same sequence under 1 other name. Lineage: Eukaryota; Fungi; Ascomycota; Dothideomycetes; Capnodiales. The record is from RNAcentral.
AAACUUUCAACAACGGAUCUCUUGGUUCUGGCAUCGAUGAAGAACGCAGCGAAAUGCGAUAAGUAAUGUGAAUUGCAGAAUUCCGUGAAUCAUCGAAUCUUUGAACGCACAUUGCGCCCCUCGGUAUUCCGGGGGGCAUGCUUGUUCGAGCGUCAUUAC